GGGCGCAUGGUGUAGUUGGUUUAUCACGCUCGCUUAGCAUCGUGCUGACGUAAACAUGCGAGAGGUGUUGGGUUCAAUUCCCAAUGCGUCCA
Molecule: non-coding RNA, 92 nt
Organism: Mycena belliarum
Lineage: Eukaryota; Fungi; Basidiomycota; Agaricomycetes; Agaricales; Mycenaceae
Source: the annotation of a GenBank genome assembly